This 421-nucleotide ribosomal RNA is filed under the name uncultured Oscillospiraceae bacterium. RNAcentral's name for it is "bacterial SSU rRNA". It matches the Rfam family "Bacterial small subunit ribosomal RNA", at positions 355 to 794 of the family's 1533-position model. Lineage: Bacteria; Bacillati; Bacillota; Clostridia; Eubacteriales; Oscillospiraceae. The record is from RNAcentral.
UGGGGAAUAUUGCACAAUGGGCGCAAGCCUGAUGCAGCAACGCCGCGUGAAGGAAGAAGGCCUUUGGGUCGUAAACUUCUGUCCUAGGGGAAGAUAAUGACGGUACCCUUGGAGGAAGCCCCGGCUAACUACGUGCCAGCAGCCGCGGUAAUACGUAGGUGGCAAGCGUUGUCCGGAAUUACUGGGUGUAAAGGGAGCGUAGGCGGGCAGGCAAGUCAGGCGUGAAAGAUAUCGGCUCAACCGGUAGCUGCGCUUGAAACUGCAGGUCUUGAGUGAAGUAGAGGUUGGCGGAAUUCCUAGUGUAGCGGUGAAAUGCGUAGAUAUUAGGAGGAACACCAGUGGCGAAGGCGGCCAACUGGGCUUUUACUGACGCUGAGGCUCGAAAGUGUGGGGAGCAAACAGGAUUAGAUACCCUGGUAGU